Molecule: ribosomal RNA, 440 nt
Filed under: uncultured bacterium
Lineage: Bacteria
Description: partial 16S ribosomal RNA
Rfam family: Bacterial small subunit ribosomal RNA
Source: RNAcentral
CCUACGGGAGGCAGCAGUAGGGAAUAUUGCUCAAUGGGGGAAACCCUGAAGCAGCAACGCCGCGUGGAGGAUGAAGGUUCUCGGAUUGUAAACUUCUUUUGUUAGAGAAGAUAAUGACGGUAUCCAACGAAUAAGCACCGGCUAACUCCGUGCCAGCAGCCGCGGUAAUACGGAGGGUGCAAGCGUUACUCGGAAUCACUGGGCGUAAAGAGCGCGUAGGCGGGAUAGCAAGUCAGAUGGGAAAUCCUAGGGCUUAACCAUAGAACUGCAUUUGAAACUGUUAUUCUAGAGUAUGGGAGAGGUAGGUGGAAUUCUUGGUGUAGGGGUAAAAUGCGUAGAGAUCAAGAAGAAUACUCAUUGCGAAGGCGACCUGCUGGAACAUAACUGACGCUGAUGCGCGAAAGCGUGGGGAGCGAACAGGAUUAGAUACCCCAGUAGUC